Molecule: long non-coding RNA, 4112 nt
Organism: Photinus pyralis (common eastern firefly)
Lineage: Eukaryota; Metazoa; Arthropoda; Insecta; Coleoptera; Lampyridae
Exons: 3
Source: RefSeq, a predicted model, not a curated record
UGUUUUGAUGAUGGGUUCAAAAUCUUUUUCUUGCUUUUUUUCUUCUUUCUCAUUUUUCUUUUGUUGUUCAACAAUUAAUUCGUCUUUAUAAGGUGUACUUGUUAGAAUGACCGUUCCCACACUUUUUCUCUUUCUGGUUCCUCUUGUGUUCUCUUUCAUUUUGGGCAAUGGAUUUAUUUCAUCAGGAGGGAUGUUAAAACUGGUUGACAUAGAAGCUGAAGCAAUUUGAAUGUCGUUUUUAGUAUUUGGUGCGACUUCAUUCCUGCGCUUGAUUUGGUGUUGCUCUUGAGGAUCAUCGACUUCGACAUCGCCUUCUGGUACAGCUUCACAAGUUUGGUCUGAAGUCAUCACGAUGUCUUCUUCAGUGACUUCCGCUGCUACAAAAUCAAUAUCCGUGAAUACAUCAGGGUCGUAUGGAACCAAUCCAGUUUUCUUAAAUCCAUUUAUCGCAUUAGCAGGACUGCAAGCUUGAAUGUAAGAUUCAUUAAAAAUAGAUGAAAUUUGAAAAACUGUGACAACCCUUCCUGGGUGAUUGUUGAGCCACUUUUCAAGAGCCUUAUCGUGGUAAUGAUUCAACGGAUACGUAACUGAAACAUCUAAUGGCUGCAACUUAUGAGUGCAGUGAGGAGGUAGGCAAAUAAUGGUAACAAAGCUUUCUCUUGCUUUUUCUAUGACUAGUAAAUUCUUGGUAUGGGAAAGAUGCCCGUCUAGUAUCAAAAGUGCGGGGUCGGUUUUCGUUGGUUUCACAUGACUUAAAAAGUGAUCAAACCAUUUAUAUACUAAAAACUUCAAUCUUCAUCCAUUGCAUUCAAAUAUUGUUCCAGGUGGUGCACCAUCUUUCAACUCUUGCUUCAUUCGCUGUCUAGAAAAAAUCAACAUUGUGGGAACAAAAUUGCCUCCCGCUGACAUACAGAUAACAGCAGUUGUUGAAACUCCUCGCUCAGCCGACACAACUCUACCGACUUGCUUUCUUCCCUUUUUUGCCAAUAUCUUGCAAUUUUUUCCAGGGACCGUACUCACGGAUGUUUCAUCCACGUUGAAUAUCCUGUGGGGCGAGUACGGCGUUUUAUCCAUUGCGGAUUUUAACAGUGAAAAAAAUUUUGUGACAACUGGGCGGUUAAAAGCUCUAGCUCGGGCUGUGGAUGUUGCUUCGGGUGCUCUUAACGAAAUUUCAGGAUGACGCAUACGAAAACCAGUAAACCAGUCUUUGCCAGCAAGUUGCGUUUUUGCUGAAAAUGGAUUUGGAAUGCGGUUUUUAACGGCUAAUUGGUACGCAAUUGACCGGAUAUCGUGAAUGGUUAAGCCAUACAUUCUGGUUUCCAUGUUCAAUAUAUGACGUACAAGAUCCGCUUCUUGAUCCACAGUGAACACAUUCAUCUUACUACCUAGAACUUUCUUUUCGUCUGUGGCCAACUUAUUUUUGCCCUUGCAACGCCUCUUGAGACUCAUCACCGGGACUUGAAAUUGUCUUGCCGCAGUUUUAAAUGGCAAUCCAUUCUGAACUGCCUCGACAGCUGCUCGCAUUUGUUCAUCAGACCAAUUCUGCCGAUUUGUUUUCCUUAUAUACUUCGAAACCAUUCUCUGAAUAAAUGGAAAACAGAUUGAAUCUAGUAAUAGGAAAGCUUGGGCAAAAUGAUCCCUCAAAACGGAAUAACGCGGGUAAAAUGAUCCCCACCGGGAUCAUUUUGCCCGAAAUUACACGUUUGUUUUACGCGCCAUUUUUCGUGAAUGUGUCUUGUCAAAAUACGCCAUAGAUGGCGUUUACGAUACUCAAAUUAUUUCGAGGGAUCGUUUUACCCGUGGGGAUCAUUUUAGGCGGUCCUCCCCUAUCAGCACAAAAUUUGCUUCAUGCCUACAUCUUACUGUUUACACAAGGAAGCUUUGCAAAACCAAAUUAAAACUUAUGGAGGGUUUAUACAAUCAUUAUCAUUAGUUCACUAUCAUCAACCCAGCAAACACGAUGACGUGAUAAUGUCGUCAUAUUAAAGUGAUUUUUUGGUAAGUCACGUCAAUGUUCAAAAAAUGACGUGAAUAUGACGCGGUUUUUUAUGACAUCUGUAUGAAGACAUGUAAUGACGGUAUUCUGACGUCAUCUUUUAGUCAGUACAAUUACUCAUUCACAUCCCUGAAAUGAAUCUAUUUUUACUUUCCUAUAUUGUUUUUAACUAAUUUAGUUCAUUUCCUUCCAAAUGAAUAAAUAAUGCACUUUUAAAAUGUCAGCGUAGAACUAUGUACUUAAAUAAUUAGAAAUUAGUUAUAAUCGCAAUGGCUCCCGACAAUAUGGCAUAAUAUAACUCUGAAAACCAGGAUAAAAGAAUUUUUAGCUGCGUCACAGAUAAAACACUAAUUUAUCUGUGGCUGCGUGAACAAAUAAAUCACUUAUUUGAAUUCAUGUGUAUGGCGCGGUAAUUUGCUUGAUCUUUUGGUUGGAGUACGCCCAUUCGUUCGGUCUGGCGCCUUAACCUCAUUUUAUCACGCUUUCAUACGUUGUCGAAUUGUUUUAAUUUUUAUCGAUGGCUUUUGUGGUAUUGAAUUUGAAGAGUCAAGUGGUGGAGGAUUAGCUGUGAUUUUAGAAGAGUGGUUAACACCGAGAAAAAGGGAGGCAUUCUGGCCACCUUAUAAGAGCCAGAAAACGUUUAACACCGCCUUACAAACCGGCGAGGUGCAUAAGGAAGAUUGGCAGAUUUACCCGUUUUUUUCAAGUCGAUGAUUUAUUAGAAGCCCAGAAAAAAAUAAAAUUGGCAGAAGAUACUUCGGAUGUACAAACUGACAAAGACCAAAGAGGCAGUAUUAAAGGCGAAACGAAGAGACGACGACAACCGCCAAAAAAAUUUGCUAUUGAUGAAUCUGAUCAAAACUGUAUCAGUAGCGAUGACGGACACGUAAAGUCCAAUUAAAAUAAGUUACCGAGACCUCCACCCGUAUCAGUUUUGGCAGAACGAGGCUCGUCAUCAGCGGAGAAUAUAUACAGGGUGGUGCCUAGCGUAACGCAGCAUAGGGAUUUCAAUUUCAAUGAGAAAAAAAUACUGCAUCUGUUCAUACUAUUUAUACUUAUAAUUUCACAUUUUUCAAAAUAGAGGAAAUGAUAAGGUCAAUGCACCAACACAAGCGGACGUGGCCAGAUUUUUCAAGGCAAAGUGGCAUAUUUUCUUUCAAGGUCGACUGUUGUGGUAUCUGAUAUUACUCUCAAGGUCAACUUCCUUGCCUUCAUAUUUCGAUUCCAAUGACAAUUUUCAAGGUCACUUGUUUUAUGACAUCGCAUUACAUCUUCAAGGUUAACUUUAUUUGGUAUCAUAUCUCAUUUCCAUGGUGAGGUGUAAUAUUUCAUUUUGAAGGUCAAUCGAUUCUACAGUUUAUUGUUCAAACAAGCUGAACCCAGCGCAGUACCAAUACGAGUUUUAAAAAGAAAAGGAUCUAGGGUGGACCCUUAUGGAAUAGCUGAGGCCUGGGCGAAAUAUUUAGAAUCAUUGCUAUUAUAGGGCACAAAAUGCGAUCUGUCCACAAGAUAAGAUUUGAUAAAAUUCGCUAAGGUAGAAAGUACUGAAACCAUAUCCUCAGGCAAUUUUUUAAUCAGAAUGUAGUGAUCUAGUUAAUCAAAGGCUUCUUGAAAAAAAAAGGUAGCAAUUACUUAUUAAGCUACACAAAAUUAAAAUCAAAUUUCAAACUAUAAAAAUUAAAUUCUAUUGCUACUUAAACUAUAAACUACAACUACAAGUUAAUAUACAUAUAUACAAUUUUUACAUUGUUUCUAUGGAAACUCCUCAAUCCUCCGACUGUACUCCUGGGCGAUUCUAAUAUUCUCCCGCACCCCCUCCAAGUUUUGGUUGGCCUCGAAUAGCUCAUUAUUCAGUUGAGCUACUCGAUUUGUCAACAUCACCUCAGAAUUUUUGUAGCAAGCAUGCAGCUCCUGAAUCCACUGCAAACUAUACUGCUUAAACUCCCUUAAGUUGCUCGGUGGAAGCACCAUAGUUUGCUGCGGAUUGCGGACUGUAGAGAGCUGCUGCUGCGGAGGCGGUAGAUGUUGUACUGUGGGAGGCUGCUCCCGAGGGGACGAUUGACUGAGGACUGCUGCUGCGGUGCGUCGGAUGCUGCUGCAUAGGUGCAAGAUUUGG